ACCUAAAAGAGCUAGCAGAAUUCGAAAG
This 28-nucleotide non-coding RNA is filed under the name Cricetulus griseus (Chinese hamster). Lineage: Eukaryota; Metazoa; Chordata; Mammalia; Rodentia; Cricetidae. The record is from RNAcentral.